GUGCUCACUCCAGCAGCACAUGUACUGAAAGUGGAACAAUACAGGGAGGAUUAGGUGGCUUGUGUGCAAGGAUGACAUGCAAGCUUGUGAAGCGUUCCAUAUUUUU
Molecule: small nuclear RNA, 106 nt
Organism: Cervus hanglu yarkandensis (Yarkand deer)
Lineage: Eukaryota; Metazoa; Chordata; Mammalia; Artiodactyla; Cervidae
Source: Ensembl